RNAcentral lists this ribosomal RNA (497 nucleotides) under uncultured bacterium. Its description in RNAcentral is "partial 16S ribosomal RNA". It matches the Rfam family "Bacterial small subunit ribosomal RNA", at positions 28 to 507 of the family's 1533-position model. The record is from RNAcentral.
GAUGAACGCUGGCGGCGUGCCUAAUACAUGCAAGUCGAGCGAACAGACGAGGAGCUUGCUCCUCUGACGUUAGCGGCGGACGGGUGAGUAACACGUGGAUAACCUACCUAUAAGACUGGGAUAACUUCGGGAAACCGGAGAUAAUACCGGAUAAUAUAUUGAACCGCAUGGUUCAAUAGUGAAAGACGGUUUUGCUGUCACUUAUAGAUGGAUCCGCGCCGCAUUAGCUAGUUGGUAAGGUAACGGCUUACCAAGGCGACGAUGCGUAGCCGACCUGAGAGGGUGAUCAGCCACACUGGAACUGAGACACGGUCCAGACUCCUACGGGAGGCAGCAGUAGGGAAUCUUCCGCAAUGGGCGAAAGCCUGACGGAGCAACGCCGCGUGAGUGAUGAAGGUCUUCGGAUCGUAAAACUCUGUUAGUAGGGAAGAACAAAUGUGUAAGUAACUAUGCACGUCUUGACGGUACCUAAUCAGAAAGCCACGGCUAACUACGUG